Molecule: microRNA precursor, 98 nt
Filed under: Pelobates cultripes (western spadefoot toad)
Lineage: Eukaryota; Metazoa; Chordata; Amphibia; Anura; Pelobatidae
Source: RNAcentral
UUUUGGUAUGUAAUAUAUAAUGUGUGUGUGUGUGUGUGUGUGUGUGUAUAUAUGUAUAUACACACACACACACACACACACACAUUAUAUAUUACAUA